GACGAACGCUGGCGGCGUGCCUAAUACAUGCAAGUCGAACGAGUGGCGGACGGGGUAGUAACACGUGGGAACCUACCCAUCAGAGGGGGAUAACACUUGGAAACAGGUGCUAAUACCGCAUACUGAUGGAUGGACCCGCGGUGCAUUAACUAGUAGGUGGGGUAAAGGCUCACCUAGGCCACGAUCUCUAGCUGGUCUGAGAGGAUGAUCAGCCACACUGGGACUGAGACACGGGCCAGACUCCUACGAGAGGCAGCAGUGGGGAAUAUUGCACAAUGGGCGCAAGCCUGAGGCAGCCAUGCCGCGUGUAUGAAGAAGGCCUUAGGGUUGUAAAGUACUUUCAGCGGGGAGGCGUUACCCGAAGAAGAAGCACCGGCUAACUCCGUGCCAGCAGCCGCGGUAAUUC
RNAcentral lists this ribosomal RNA (406 nucleotides) under uncultured bacterium. Its description in RNAcentral is "partial 16S ribosomal RNA". It matches the Rfam family "Bacterial small subunit ribosomal RNA", at positions 28 to 526 of the family's 1533-position model. The record is from RNAcentral.